Molecule: long non-coding RNA, 393 nt
Organism: Hyla sarda
Lineage: Eukaryota; Metazoa; Chordata; Amphibia; Anura; Hylidae
Exons: 3
Source: RefSeq, a predicted model, not a curated record
CAGGAGCCGCAAACCUGGGUGCGCCAUCACGGAUGUGGUCCGGGAGUGGAGCCUAGUCCGGUCUCAGGCACGCCCUUUGGAACAGCUGAUUGGAGCAGGACGGGCAUGACAUAUGCAAGGAGGAGAGUUAACAGGGUGGGAAGACUGAUUCGAGAUGAAGGAAAGCAAUGCAUUCUUGGAAUUGUAGUACUGAGCAACUGCUAAGACCUACAAAAGAAAUGGAUUUGGGUGGUUUCAGAACUCGGAAAGACAAAUUUUAGGAGAUUGCUAGCAACAGCCAAUGCACCCCCUUGGACAAAGCGUACAAAAUAAUCACCGGCCAGGGGUCCCACGGCAUACAGUCCUUUCUCUUGAAUACACUCGUAUGUGAAUGGAUCAAUAUCAAGAGGAUUC